This 1066-nucleotide long non-coding RNA is filed under the name Bos mutus (wild yak). RNAcentral describes it as "lncRNA (ENSBMUG00000014533.1)". Lineage: Eukaryota; Metazoa; Chordata; Mammalia; Artiodactyla; Bovidae. The record is from RNAcentral.
UGGACUGCGCCAGCGCCGCCAGCAGCUGCCGCACCACGUUGUCGUACAUGAGGUCGCUCUCGUUGGUGAUGAAGUCCAGCCGGUUGAGCGACUUGAUGUGGUCCCGGUUCUCGUUGCAGAACAUGGCCAGGAUGUUGAUGUCGCAGAACUGGGAGCGGCGCCACUGCCGGCGCGUCUUGAUGCCCACCUUGUGCAGCUUGUCGAAGACGAAGUUGCUCUUGCGGAAGAUGGAGGUGCGUGAGGUUGACCAGGAUGACGAGGCUCAUGGCGCAGAGGAGCACCACGUCCACGCCCGCCACGAUGCGCUGCAGCUGCACCGACGGCAGCUUGCAGGUGACGCGCACGGCCGGGCCUCCCCCCGGGGCGGCGCCCAGCGCACAGGUGAACUCGUUCUGCUUCUGGGUGGCGUAGUAGGUGCACAGGUAGGAGAUGGGCGCCACGCUGAGCAGCAGGAUGAGCAGGUGCCGCGCCAGGUAGAGCUUGGCCAGGAAGUUGCUGCGGCCGCGGCGCUCCAGGUACUUCUCGAACAGGUUCUGCUCGGGGCUCUUCUCCUUCUCCGCGUUCUCGAUGAUCUCGCGCCGCUCGCGCUCCGUGAUGCCCGGGCCCUUGGACUGGAUCUGCUUCUCGAUCUUGGGCGCACGGCCCUCGGCCGCCCGGUGGUAGCAGUUGUCGAUUUCCUGCAGCAGGAAGUUGAGCUCGGAGGUGAGGCGCGUGGACGCCAGGAACUCCCAGCCCAGCGCAGGCACGUACAUGAUCGCCGCGAAGGCCAGCAGCGAGUAGGGCAGCAGCUUGUGCUCGAACAGCGACGGCCACAGGCUGGCGUCCACGCCGGGCAGUGCGUCCCGCAGCUCCGUCCAGCAGUAGCCGCGGGCAUACAGCGCCUGGUCGCGGGUGAAGUUGUGCGGCGUGUAGCAGUAAAUGGGCUCCUCUGGGAAAUUCUUGGUGAAGACCAGGGUGACCAGCAGGAUGGGGACGAGCACGGUGCCGAUGGUGACCACGCGGUCAAACGGCAGCUCCAGCUUGAGCUGCAGCAGCAGCGCGGCCAGCGCGCCCGCCUUGUCGUCCU